AACAAGGCGUACCUGCGGACCUGCGGAGGGAUCAUUACAGAGUGUUUAACCCCCUAUAAAAUGGUGGGUCUAACCUCCCGUCCUUUGCUGGGUCCCCCUUCUGGAGGACUUUCAAAACUUUCUGCUUCGGCGGGGUAUACCCGCCGGAACACCCUCAAAAAAUUCUUGAUCAAAAUGGUUCGGUCCGAGAAACUUUUUGUGAAAAUUAGCGAAAAACUUUUAACAAUGGAUCUCAGAUCG
RNAcentral lists this unclassified non-coding RNA (240 nucleotides) under soil metagenome. RNAcentral describes it as "partial contains 5.8S ribosomal RNA, internal transcribed spacer 2, and large subunit ribosomal RNA". The record is from RNAcentral.